UACAGAGGUGGCAAGCGUUGUUCGGAAUUACUGGGCGUAAAGGGCGAGUAGGUGGCCAUCUAAGUCAGACGUGAAAUCCCCCGGCUUAACCUGGGAACUGCGUCUGAUACUGGACGGCUUGAGUAUGGGAGAGGAACGUAGAAUUCCAGGUGUAGCGGUGAAAUGCGUAGAUAUCAGGAGGAACACCGGUGGCGAAGGCGGUACUCUGGGCAUGUCCUGACGCUGAGGAGCGAAAGUGUGGGGAGCGAACAGG
This 253-nucleotide ribosomal RNA is filed under the name uncultured bacterium. Its description in RNAcentral is "partial 16S ribosomal RNA". It matches the Rfam family "Bacterial small subunit ribosomal RNA", at positions 524 to 776 of the family's 1533-position model. The record is from RNAcentral.